Molecule: long non-coding RNA, 1384 nt
Organism: Zalophus californianus (California sea lion)
Lineage: Eukaryota; Metazoa; Chordata; Mammalia; Carnivora; Otariidae
Exons: 3
Source: RefSeq, a predicted model, not a curated record
UGGGCAGCCGGCCCUGCGGAGGGCCCCGCGGGCGAGACCAGAGCCCUCCGAGCGCGUUCCGGCCUCGAGGUGCCUCGCAGUUGGGCCCCUCGGACGGGUCUGGCCCGGGGUCUUGAAGGAGGGGUUUGCCGCGCACUUCCCCUGGCGUCUCAAAAAGACCAUCGUUUUGAUCUGGAUCCCUGGCCACGCCUUUUGGCCCUGGGAGGCCCCAGCCCCGCUGUUUGUCUGUCUUCUUCCCGGGUCCGCACUUACCCGAGACCCUGCCUCAUCCUUUCCUUUCCUCACAUCUCUGUAGACCUUUGUAUUCCCGUUGUCCCUUUCCCCUGUGUCCCAAGGUAACCAGCCGUUAGCGCUUUUUAUCUGCACCCCAGCUCGUCUCCUGGGGGGAACCUUCCUUCUUCCAGCCGGGUUUGCACUCGGUUUUGUCCCCCGGUGAGACAUCUUCCCCUCUUCCCCCGUCUUCUCUCCGCAGUGGCCUGUGUGGGGGGCCCUGCCUCUCCUUUGAGCGCUCCUUUAUUCCACGCCCCCUCCCCCCCUUCCUGCAAUCCCAUCCCCUGCAAAUGAUUCCAAACCGCUGCCCUUCUUGAAGGGAAAACGACUUUUUUUUCCUUCUCUUUUUUUUUCUGGAUUAGACGUGCCCUUUUCUUGGUGACAGGUAAAAUAAUGUAGGGUCUGGUGGGUGUAAGCGUUUGUUUUUAACUCUCACCUCUGGCAAGUCAGUUAGCCACCUGGACACCUAUUCUGGAGGAACAUUGUUUUCGGUAGCCAGGCCAGCGCGUAGGUGAUCUAUGUUUACACAAGCCCAAGCUUGGCCCUGCGGCCCUUUUCUCUUUUGUAAAUUUCCCCUGUGCCUGGUGAGUCCCUCAAAAACCACUUGCAGAUGUUCUUUUGGCUACUAACCUUAACUGGCUAAGCCAAGGAAAUGAUCCCCUUAAAAUCUCGGUAAAUCUGUGCCCUCCAACUUAAAUCAGCUUGAGUGUGUUCUGGAAACUGAGUUUGUAGGUAAACAUUUGCAAGAGAAACAAAUCUUAACUGAAGAUAAAUUACACAGAGCUCUUCAGGUACAUCGCUUCUGUGAGAAGACAUUUUGCCUGGACUGCCCAGAGUUCUGCACCUGCUCUAAGCGAAAGACAUGAGGCCUAAGACUGAGAUGAGGUUGUUUUGAGGCCAUCUGAUUUCUGACUAGAAGGUGUGCGAUCGCCUCGUCCUGAAACCACUUCAAACAGAAUGGUUUGCAAUUUUUUUUGGUGAUGGCAUGUUCAGAAUCUUGGAUCCCUAAGUUGAAUAUGUUGGAAAUAUUUAGGAACUCUGGAAAUUACUGUUUGGUGUAUAUAAUGACUUACUAGGUGAAUCAGUAGAUUUAAUAAAAAAGUAUAUAAAAGAA